UCCUCUCUUUGCUCUCAUUUUUCACUCCCCACUCCUUCCUCCACUCCCUCACACUCCUCUCAUACCUCUUACCCACGAGCUGCUGCUCCUCCCAAGCUCCAUGGCCGGCCAUGGCCAUGGAAAUCCACCUAGAUGAAGCUCCCCUCCUCCCUCAAGCUUCCCCUCACCAUUAGAGCCUCCCUCUCCUUCUUCUCCCCAACCCUAGAUGGUUUUCUCUCCUCUUCUUCUUCCUCCCUUGCUAAGAUUGGAUCUUGAUGCAGGUGCAUGUUGGUCCAAGCAUGGAGAAGCUUGAGCUAUCCUCAGAUCUGAAGUUCUUGAGCAAAAUCCAAAUCGAGUGAUUCAAAGUUCCGCAGAUAGGUAUUGAAAAGAUCUACAACUUGGCGUUGGUCUCAUCCUCAAAUUCGUUACGGAUUUUGCAUGAUCAAUAUCUGGUCAGAUCUGACUUUGUCGAAUUAAACCAGGAGCUUGGAAACGAAUUUUUGAAUGAAACCAAUUGGGAUGUUAUCUACCAGGGGAUAUUUCGUUUAUACCAUGGUGAUACCCGAGAAAGGCAAUUGCUAAGUUGUGAUACUCUCAUACCUUUACUAGAUGCGAACGAUUCCGGAGAAGAAGAAGAAGUGGUUCGGACAAGGAUUUUAUUUAUAUUGACGGGAUUCUGAUAUUGAUGAAGUUGAAGAAGUCCAGGGACAAAUAAGCCAAGGCAAGCCAUCUCUUGAUCUCUGAAUAUUGAAUCACAUAUUGUGGUUACUUUGUUAUUAUUAUUGUCUCUCGAUCUAUCUUGUGUGAUUUCUACUUUUGUUGUCGGAGCAUGCUUACCGUGAGCAUGUUUACUCUCUUUGGCACCUCGCCGACAAACCCCUUUUUGUGAAUGGUGGUUGUCAACAUCAUGA
Lolium perenne is the source of this 890-nucleotide long non-coding RNA. RefSeq lists it as uncharacterized. The record is from RefSeq and is a predicted model, not a curated record. NCBI's taxonomy places the organism in Eukaryota, Viridiplantae, Streptophyta, Magnoliopsida, Poales, Poaceae.